CCAAGGGAUUGGCCUAGUGGUCAAGGCCUGGGACUUACGCUCCCGAGGUCUUAGGUUCGAAACCUCUCCUUUGGG
Rhododendron molle is the source of this 75-nucleotide non-coding RNA. NCBI's taxonomy places the organism in Eukaryota, Viridiplantae, Streptophyta, Magnoliopsida, Ericales, Ericaceae. The record is from the annotation of a GenBank genome assembly.